RNAcentral lists this ribosomal RNA (450 nucleotides) under uncultured bacterium. Its description in RNAcentral is "partial 16S ribosomal RNA". It matches the Rfam family "Bacterial small subunit ribosomal RNA", at positions 354 to 796 of the family's 1533-position model. The record is from RNAcentral.
GUGGGGAAUAUUGGACAAUGGGCGCAAGCCUGAUCCAGCAAUGCCGCGUGGGUGAAGAAGGCCUUCGGGUUGUAAAGCCCUUUUGUACGGAAAGAAAUCCUGGUGGUUAAUACCCGCCGGGGAUGACGGUACCGUAAGAAUAAGCACCGGCUAACUUCGUGCCAGCAGCCGCGGUAAUACGAAGGGUGCAAGCGUUAAUCGGAAUUACUGGGCGUAAAGCGUGCGUAGGUGGUUUCUUAAGUCUGUCGUGAAAGCCCUGGGCUCAACCUGGGAAUGGCGAUGGAUACUGGGAGGCUAGAGUGCGGUAGAGGAUGGCGGAAUUCCCGGUGUAGCGGUGAAAUGCGUAGAGAUCGGGAGGAACAUCUGUGGCGAAGGCGGCCAUCUGGACCAGCACUGACACUGAGGCACGAAAGCGUGGGGAGCAAACAGGAUUAGAUACCCCUGUAGUCC